UAAUAUGAAGUGAUAGAUAUUACACCCAAUUUCGACUUGGCCCUAACUUAAUCAGUCUUAUUUU
This 64-nucleotide transfer RNA is filed under the name Pseudachorutes palmiensis. Its description in RNAcentral is "tRNA-Arg". Lineage: Eukaryota; Metazoa; Arthropoda; Collembola; Poduromorpha; Neanuridae. The record is from RNAcentral.